UCAAAUACUAUGAAGCUUCCACUUUUAUCCAGUUCAUAUUCAUUCAGUGGUGACUUGGUUAGGGCUGAUGAUGGGCCGUGUGAUUCUUUGAAGGAAACCCACAAAGUUAUGGUGAGGGAGAAAACCUUCUCUAGUCAGGGUCAAAAGGAAGGGCUGGAGCCAACAUCUACUGAGGUGAAUGGUUUCCUUUAACAUAUCACCAAGGGUAAGAGGGUGUGCUUUGUAUGCUUCAUUCAGAGUAUUCAUUUUNGUUAAGCUCAUAUGNAGAGAGAUGUAGAAAUAAUGUACUUGAGAGAAAGUACAGGUUGUUUAAUGUGGGUGAUGAAGAAGGACUUCCAAGCGUAACUGUUAAAAUAAUUAAUUGUGGUGAACAUAAUGAGGAUGGAAAGAAGAUAACUAAGUCAAAAAAGGAAAGAAUUGGAUCUACUAAAACCCAAUCCUGAACUGCAUAAGGGAAAACACAAAAAAGGUCAAGACGCAAAUCAAGAAGGUGAAUUAUAUGCUCGGGCAUUUUUUAGAGGAGAGCCGUAUCCAGUGGAGCCUGUUAUUGACAGUAGCGGGUGGUUUUGCAGACUGUUGAUUCAUGGUGAUUUCAUGGACAAUUUUCAGUUUAGUUUAGUUAAACUAAAUUAAAAAAUAGUUCAGUUCAGUUACUCUGAACUAUUUUUUAGUUUAGUACAGUUUUUUUGAACUAGGUUAUAGUUAACUACAAACUUUUACAGUGCAGUACAGUAUAGUACAUUUUGCCCA
Vigna radiata var. radiata (mung bean) is the source of this 750-nucleotide long non-coding RNA. RefSeq lists it as uncharacterized. The record is from RefSeq and is a predicted model, not a curated record. The transcript has 3 exons. NCBI's taxonomy places the organism in Eukaryota, Viridiplantae, Streptophyta, Magnoliopsida, Fabales, Fabaceae.